CUGUUUUCUCAUCAAUUCUA
RNAcentral lists this unclassified non-coding RNA (20 nucleotides) under Mus musculus (house mouse). RNAcentral's name for it is "oocyte_clustered_small_RNA10409". The record is from RNAcentral. Lineage: Eukaryota; Metazoa; Chordata; Mammalia; Rodentia; Muridae.